CCUACGGGAGGCAGCAGUGAGGAAUAUUGGUCAAUGGGCUUACGCCUGAACCAGCCAAGUCGCGUGAGGGAAGACUGCCCUAUGGGUUGUAAACCUCUUUUGUCAGGGAGCAACGCCUGCUACGUGUAGCCGGCCUGAGAGUCCCUGAAGACAAAGCAUCGGCUAACUCCGUGCCAGCAGCCGCGGUCAUACGGAGGAUGCGAGCGUUCUCCGGAUUGAUUGGGUUUAAAGGGUGCGUAGGCGGAAUGCCAAGUCAGCGGUAAAAUCGCGGGGCUCAACCUCGCUCCGCCGUUGAAACUGGCGGGCUGGAGUGGGCGAGAAGUAGGCGGAAUGCGUGGUGUAGCGGUGAAAUGCAUAGAUAUCACGCAGAACUCCGAUUGCGAAGGCAGCAUACCGGCGCACAACUGACGCGGAAGCACGAAAGCGUGGGUAUCGAACAGGAUUAGAUACCCUGGUAGUC
Molecule: ribosomal RNA, 460 nt
Filed under: uncultured bacterium
Lineage: Bacteria
Description: partial 16S ribosomal RNA
Rfam family: Bacterial small subunit ribosomal RNA
Source: RNAcentral